AUUGAACGCUGGCGGCAGGCUUAACACAUGCAAGUCGAGCGGGGUGAUGGUGCUUGCACUAUCACUUAGCGGCGGACGGGUGAGUAAUGCUUAGGAAUCUGCCUAUUAGUGGGGGACAACAUCUCGAAAGGGAUGCUAAUACCGCAUACGUCCUACGGGAGAAAGCAGGGGAUCACUUGUGACCUUGCGCUAAUAGAUGAGCCUAAGGCGGAUUAGCUAGUUGGUGGGGUAAAGGCCUACCAAGGCGACGAUCUGUAGCGGGUCUGAGAGGAUGAUCCGCCACACUGGGACCGAGACACGGCCCAGACUCCUACGGGAGGCAGCAGUGGGGAAUAUUGGACAAUGGGGGGAACCCUGAUCCAGCCAUGCCGCGUGUGUGAAGGAGGCCUUAUGGUUGUAAAGCACUUUAAGCGAGGAGGAGGCUCUUUUGGUUAAUACCCAAGAUGAGUGGACGUUACUCGCAGAAUAAGCACCGGCUAACUCUGUGCCAGCCGCCGCAGUAA
This 503-nucleotide ribosomal RNA is filed under the name uncultured bacterium. RNAcentral describes it as "partial 16S ribosomal RNA". It matches the Rfam family "Bacterial small subunit ribosomal RNA", at positions 30 to 523 of the family's 1533-position model. The record is from RNAcentral.